GAUGAACGCUAGCUACAGGCUUAACACAUGCAAGUCGAGGGGAAACGACAUCGAAAGCUUGCUUUUGUAUGGGCGUCGACCGGCGCACGGGUGAGUAACGCGUAUCCAACCUGCCCACCACUUGGGGAUAACCUUGCGAAAGUAAGACUAAUACCCGAUACGCUUCAUAGAUGGCAUCUGAAUGGGAUUAAAGAUUUAUCGGUGAUGGAUGGGGAUGCGUCUGAUUAGCUUGUUGGCGGGGUAACGGCCCACCAAGGCAACGAUCAGUAGGGGUUCUGAGAGGAAGGUCCCCCCACAUUGGAACUGAGACACGGUCCAAACUCCUACGGGAGGCAGCAGUGAGGAAUAUUGGUCAAUGGGCAGAGCCUGAACCAGCCAAGUAGCGUGCAGGAUGACGGCCCUAUGGGUUGUAAACUGCUUUUAUAAGGGAAUAAAGUGGGUCACGUGUGACUUUUUGCAUGUACCUUAUGAAUAAGGACCGGCUAAUUCCGUG
This 493-nucleotide ribosomal RNA is filed under the name uncultured bacterium. Its description in RNAcentral is "bacterial SSU rRNA". It matches the Rfam family "Bacterial small subunit ribosomal RNA", at positions 28 to 507 of the family's 1533-position model. The record is from RNAcentral.